Molecule: ribosomal RNA, 3284 nt
Filed under: Durio zibethinus
Lineage: Eukaryota; Viridiplantae; Streptophyta; Magnoliopsida; Malvales; Malvaceae
Description: eukaryotic LSU rRNA
Rfam family: Eukaryotic large subunit ribosomal RNA
Source: RNAcentral
UGAUUGCCUGGGUGUCAUGCAUCAUCACCCCCUCUAACCCCCCACCCAUUGAGUUUCAGGUGAAGGGGCAAAAAAUGGCCUUUUAUGAUCUCAUCGGUUGUUAUUGGCCCAAAAGUGAGUCCCCGAUAAUGAUAGUGCUGUGAUCGUUGCUGGUAAAGCUCCCAGCAUGCAUUGUCUCUAAUGAGGUAUCAAAGAGCAGUGAAAGUCCCGUUAUGCUUAGACCCUAUCACACCAUGAGGCACUAUCUGCGAGUCGAGUUGUUUAGAAAUGUAGCUUUAAUCAGGUAGUAAAUUAUAUCCAAGGCUAAAUACAAGGAAGAGACUAAUAACGAACAAGUAUCAUGAGGGAAAGAUGAAAGGGACUUUAAAAAAAGAGUUAAAAAGUGCAUGAAAUUAUUGGUAGAAAAGUAGAUGGGGGCUAGGGAUGCACCUCAGUUGGAUGUGGAAUGGUAAGAGCUGGUCCACCAAUCAACUUGGGGUAUGGAUCGAUGCAUAUCAUGGCAAUGGCCUAAGCUCAAACUUUUUAUAUGCUUACAGAGACGUUGUCACCACUAUCAUGGAAUGCAACACAUGCCAUCUAGAUGUGUGUCAACCCACAUGUGCUUCUGGGGUCAACCUACAAGCUCCCCAUCUAGCCAAUCUUGAAACAUAAACCAAGGAGUCUGACAUGUGUGCAAGUCAAUGAGCUAGAAAACCCAAAAGGCAUAAGGAAACUAAUUGGCAAGAUCCCUUGUAAGUGCACUACCAACCAAACUUGAUCUUUUGAAUUGCGUCUGAGUGAGGCAAAGGCAGAGGAAACUCUGGUGGAGGCCUGCAGCAAUACUAACAUGCAAAUCAUUUGUCUGACUUGGGUAUAGGGUGAAAAACUAAUUGAAAUGUCUAGUAGCUAGCUCUCUCUAAAGUUUCUCUCAUGAUAGCUGGAGCCCUUAGCAAGUUCUAUCAAGUAAAGCCAAUGAUUAGAGGCAUCGUAAGUGCAACACCCUUGACCUAUUCUUAAACUUAAAAUAGGUAAGAAAGUGAGGCUACUUCAUGAAGCCGUUCCAUGGAAUCGUGAGCUCCUAGUGGGCCAUUUUGUUAAGCAAAACUGGUGAUGUAGGAUGAACUAGAAGCUAGAUUACGAUGCCUAACUGCAUGCUAACCUAGAACCCACAAAGGGUGUCGGUCAAUUAAGAUAAUAGGAUAGUGGUAAUAAAAGUCAAAAUCCACUAAGGAGUGUAUAAUAACUCACCUGCCAAAUCAACUAGCUCUAAAAAUGGAUGGUGCUUAAGCACACGACCUAUAUAUGGCUGUUAGGGCAAGGGCCAGGCCCUAAUGAAUAGCAAGGUGUAAAGGCAGUGCAAAACCUAAAGCAUGACCAAAACGACCAUCAGUAUAUAUCUUGGUGGUAGUAGCAAAUAUUCAAAUAAGAAAUUUGAAGGCUGAAGAAGGGAAAAGUUCCAUGUGAAUGGCACUUGCACAUGGGUUAGUCGAUCCUAAAAGAUAGGGAAAGGUCAUCCGAUAGCACAUCCAGCACAAGCUUCAAAAAGGAAUCAAGCUAAAAUUCCUAAACCAAGAUGCGGUGACUAAUGGCAAUGUUAAAGAGUUUGAAGAUGUUGGUGGAGGCCUCGGGAAGAGUUAUCUUUUUUAUUUAAUGGCUUGCCUACCCUGAAAAUGGCUCAACCAAAGGUAGGGUCCAACAACCAAAAGAGCACUACACAUUGCAUGGUGUAUAAUGAGCCCCUGCUGGGCUUUGAAAAUCUAGAGAACCAACUACGAUCCAUGCCCAAUCAUACUCAUAAUCGCAUCAGGUCUCUAAGGUGAACAACCUCUGGUCAAUGAACCAAUAUAGGUAAAGGAUGUCGGUAAAACGGAUUUGUAACCUUGGGAAAAAUGUUGGCUCUAAAGGCUAGGCAUGGGGGUCACAAUCCUGAACCCAUCGGCUACUAGUGCACUACUUGAGCUACUAUUACAAUGAGAAUGGGUCAUCACAUGCCAACUAGGGGAUAGACUUGGAAUGGCUCCCUUGGGGGUCUUUCCUAAAUGACGAAUAGUCGACUCAGAACUAUUAUGAAUAAGGGGAAUCCAACUAUUUAAUUAAAACAAAGCAUUGCAAUGGUCCCUAUGGAUGCUCACUCAAUGUGAUUUUUGCCCAGUGCUUUGAAUGUCAAAGUGAAGAAAUUCAACCAAGUGCAGGUAAAUAGCGUGAGUAACUAUGACUCUCUUAGGGUAACCAAAUGCCUCGUCAUCUAAUUAGUGAUGUGCAUAAAUGGAUUAAUGAGAUUCCCACUAUCCCUAUUUAUUAUCUAACAAAACAACAACUAAGGGGAUGAGCUUGGCAAAGUCCAACUUUGUGAAAUGACUUGAGAGGUAUAGGAUAAGUGGGAGCCCUUGGGCAAAAUUGAAAUAUCACAACUUUUAACAUUAUUUUACUUAUUCGAUGAAUCAAAGGUGGGACAUGACCCUUUCUUUUGGAACCAAAAUUACCCUUGGUCGAUCAAUCUAAGCAGACGACCUUGUUAGGUGGGGAGUUUGGCUAAGGUAGCACAUUUGUUAAAAGAUAAUGUAGGUGUCCUAAGAUGAGCUCAACAAUAAUAGAAAUCUUGUAUGGAACAAAAAAGUAAAAGGUUAUUUGAUUAUAUUUUUCAGUACAAAUAUGAAUCAUAAAAGUGUGGCCUAUCGAUCCUUUAGAUCUUUAAAAUUUGAAGCUAGAGGUGUUAGAAAAGUUACCAGAGGGAUAAUUGGCUUAUGAUAACCAAGCAUUCAUAACGACAUUGCUUUUUGAUUCUUUGAUGUUGGCUCUUCCUAUCAUUGUGAAGCAAAAUUCAUCAAGUGUUAGAUUGUUCACUCACACCACUAGGAAACAUGAGCUAGGUUUAGACUACCAUGAGAUAGGUUAGUUUUACCCUAUUGAUGGUAGCGUUACACCUAGUAUGAGAGAAACCAUUGAUUCGCAUAAUUGGUUAUCAUGUUUGCUUGAAAAGCUAGUAGUCUAAAGCUACCAUGCACUAGAUUAUGACUAAACACCUCUAAGUUAGAAUCUAGGCUUGAAAUAAUGCACACACCUAUCACCCAAUUGCCAUCCUUAGUAGGGGCCCAUGGCCCUCAAUGGCACAUGUUGUAGGUGUAGCCCUUAUGGUGGACAAGCCAUAUGGGCCUCCUUAAGGCUCAUUCCCAUGGAGUGGUGGGUAAAAUCCUUUACAGAUGGCUUAAAUAUGUGACAAGGUAUUGUAAGUGGUAAAGUGGCCUUGCUACCAUGAUCUACUAAGAUUCAGCUCUUCGUCGCUUUGAUUCAUCCAUCCCUCACUU